CAUCUUCCUGAAUUAGGACCAGAUAUUCUCCCUUAGCUUCCAUGGCCUUCCCUGUGCCCUUCCUCCUCCUCCUCCUUCUCGUUGCUCUGCUCGUGGUCGCCGCCACGCGGCUGUGGGAUCACGUCUUCGUGCGCCUCGUAUGGAGGCCGUAUGCCAUCACCAAGGGGUUCAGAGAGCAAGGGAUCCAUGGACCUUCCUACAGCUUCUUCAAAGGCUGCAACGAGGACAUCAGGAGCAUGAAGGAGAAGACCGACGGUCUCGUGCUGGACGUCGGCGACCACAAGUACCUCCCGCGGAUCGCGCCACACUAUCUCAAAUGGAGGGCUCAGUACGGAGAACCAUUUCUGUACUGGUACGGGCCACAGGCCCGAAUUUGCAUAUUUGACUAUGAAUUGGCAAGGCAAAUUCUUUCAAGCAAGUCUGGGCAUUUCGUGAAGAACGAUGCACACCCUACCUUGUUGGCUUUGGUUGGUAAGGGACUCGGGUUCAUGGAAGGCGCUGAUUGGGUGCGCCAUCGCAGGGUAAUCAACCCUGUUUUCACCAUUGAUAAGCUUAAGAUUAUGACAAAAACAAUGCUGGAUUUCGCCCAAAACAUGGCCAGUGAGUUGGAAGCUGAAGCAUCCCAAAGCGAGAACGGAGAAACAAGAGUGGAUAUAAACAAACAAUUCAGCGAUCUAACAGUUGACAACAUAGCCUAUGCCAUCUUUGGAAACAGUUAUAAGUUAGGUAAACAAGUCUUCCAGGCACAGACUGAGAUGUUGGGGAUCACCAUGGCUACUUUCCUUGACGUGCCGAUACCAGGAAUCCAGUAUCUUCCAACCAAAGCGAAUCGACGAAAACAGAUACUUGAAAGGAAGCUCAAGAGCUUACUCACACAGAUCAUACAACCACGGUUAGCGAGCGGUGAAUACGGAAAUGAUCUGCUGGGUGUGAUGCUUGAAUCCUGCACUGAAGCCAAGCAAGGAGGGAAGCAAGUGGAUGGUCUCAGCUUGAGCAUGGAGGAGAUCAUACAUGAGUGCAAGUUGUUCUUCUUCGCCGGCCAUGAAAACACAGCCUUCUCCUCACUUGGUCAGUGUAUCUGCUCAGCAUAUACCCCGAGUGGCAAGAACGGCUCCGGAAGGAGGUCUUGAGGGAGUUCGGUAGGGAAGCUCCUAACCCCAAUGCACUCAACAAACUGAAAGAGAUGACAAUGGUGUUAUUUGAGACAUUGAGGCUCUACUCGCCUGCCCUCUUCAUGCAAAGGAAGACCCUGGCCGACAUGACCGUGGGGUCAACAAAGCUGCCCAAAGGCAUAGCAAUUGUGAUACCUAUUCCGAUCAUGCAUCGAGACAAGGAGGCAUGGGGCGACGACGCAGACGAAUUCAAUCCGAUGAGAUUUGAGAACGGGAUCACGAGAGCCGCAAAAGUUCCUCACGGCCUGCUGGCGUUCUCAAUGGGACCAAGGAAUUGCAUCGGCCAGAACUUUUCGAUGCUGGAGGCCAAGUCGACGCUGGCACUGAUGCUCCAGAAGUUCUCCUUCGCUCUCUCCCCUGACUAUGUGCAUGCGCCUGUGGAUCUCUUCACUCUCAAACCUAAGUUUGGUCUUCCCGUGAUUCUGAGGCCACUCAAAAUAUAGAUUGCUCAAUCCCAUGUGUCUUUUAAACCUCCAUCCAUAUAUGUCUUUUAGACAUCGUCUUACUCAAUGAGUUAUAUAAUUGGUAGCAGAAAUCAACAAUGGUACAUAAUACAGGUACACAUUAUUCAAGUUAGGCCCUGUUUAGAAGGGCUUUUCUCGGCU
RNA transcript from Sorghum bicolor (sorghum), 1777 nucleotides. It is a transcript of the gene named cytochrome P450 709B1, with no coding region annotated. NCBI's taxonomy places the organism in Eukaryota, Viridiplantae, Streptophyta, Magnoliopsida, Poales, Poaceae. The transcript is spliced from 5 exons. The record is from RefSeq and is a predicted model, not a curated record.